GAUGAACGCUAGCUACAGGCUUAACACAUGCAAGUCGAGGGGAAACGACAUCGAAAGCUUGCUUUUGAUGGGCGUCGACCGGCGCACGGGUGAGUAACGCGUAUCCAGCCUGCCCACCACUUGGGGAUAACCUUGCGAAAGUAAGACUAAUACCCAAUGAUAUCUCUAGAAGACAUCUGAAAGAGAUUAAAGAUUUAUCGGUGAUGGAUGGGGAUGCGUCUGAUUAGCUUGUUGGCGGGGUAACGGCCCACCAAGGCAACGAUCAGUAGGGGUUCUGAGAGGAAGGUCCCCCACAUUGGAACUGAGACACGGUCCAAACUCCUACGGGAGGCAGCAGUGAGGAAUAUUGGUCAAUGGACGAGAGUCUGAACCAGCCAAGUAGCGUGCAGGAAGACGGCCCUAUGGGUUGUAAACUGCUUUUAUAAGGGAAUAAAGUGAGUCUCGUGAGACUUUUUGCAUGUACCUUAUGAAUAAGGACCGGCUAAUUCCGUG
Molecule: ribosomal RNA, 492 nt
Filed under: uncultured bacterium
Lineage: Bacteria
Description: partial 16S ribosomal RNA
Rfam family: Bacterial small subunit ribosomal RNA
Source: RNAcentral